AUCUUUACUUCCAUAAGUGAACACAUGAAGAAAGGAUUCUAGCGUGUUUAAAUGUGUUCCCUGAUCAUGUACGAUCUUUACUUCCAUAAGGGAACACUGAUAGAUAGACAGACAGGUAUAUCAUAUCUCUAUUUCCAUAAGUGAACACAUGAAAAAAGGAUUCUAGCGUGUUUAAAAGUGUUCCCUGAUCAUGUAUAAUAGAUCUUUACUUCCAUAAGGGAACACAUGAAGAAAGGACUGUAGCGUGUUUAAAUGUGUUCCCUGAUCAGGGUUACCUGCCUAUCAGGUCCUGCCUGGAUACUCUGUAUAGAGGGCACCGUUUACAUGCUGAGUAUAAACCGGACUAAAGACAAUUGAUGACUAAAUAUACUUACGUCCUUAACACACUGAGUUGUUGAGUUUAGGUUCUGCUUUGCCAUGAAUUCAAUUAAAUUCAAUGUUUUUUAUAUAGCGCCAAAGCAAUACAAUUGUCUCAAGGUGCUUUACAGGGCCAGGAUACAUCUAUGAAUUAAUCUGCCACACGUAUGCUAGCAUGCUUAUCCUGAUAUAUCUAUGAAUUAAUCUGCCACAUGUAUGUAUGCUAGCAUGCUUAUCCUGAAAUAUCUAUGAAUUAAUCUGCCACAUGUAUGCUAGCAUGCUUAUCCUGAUACAUGUAUGAAUUAAUCUGCCACAUGUAUGUAUGCUAGCAUGCUUAUCCUGAUACAUGUAUGAAUUAAUCUGCCAUAUUUCUGAUUGUCCUCCUUCCCUUUUUUCCUUGCCACUGUUGCCAUUGU
Molecule: long non-coding RNA, 773 nt
Organism: Clupea harengus (Atlantic herring)
Lineage: Eukaryota; Metazoa; Chordata; Actinopteri; Clupeiformes; Clupeidae
Source: Ensembl